CUCCUUCUAUUGUGGCAAAGUGGAGCAGGAGGAAGUGAAUGCUAGGACGUGAACAGACCAAGCCAGGAUGAGGAUGGAGCCAACAUGAAGACAACAGCAGUCUGUAAACCUUUUUUUUUUUUACACUGUCAGUUGUUUCCUUGUUUUGGCAAAUGAGAAAUUGCUAAGAACUGCCAGGUAUUUGUUCAUUAUGAUCUUUUACACUUUCUUUUAAAGUGGACUUAAUGGAAUUAAUAUCUAUGCUUUGGUGGGAUUGAGAAUCAUGUGUCACUAUUGUGAUGUUUUUUUGCUAUCACAGUGUAACUCACAGAUAUUCAGUGAUAUAGUUGAAAAGGAUGUUUUUCAGAAACAGAUGGAUCAGAAAGUAUCAUGGGGCAGCACUCAGUCAGUCGUAUGUCUGGAAUUCCGCUAGUUCUGAACUAUUCGUGAUUGGCAAAAGUUCACUACUAGCAGAACUCGGAUAUACAACUGAAUUCUCAACGAAAGCUCAAGAUUAGCACAGUUUGAUCUCACGUGGCCUGCCAUUGGACAGCUGCUAUAUUCACGUGAUCUACUUAUCGGAUGAAGUACCAGAAGGUAAGGUGAGUAAGCAUGCAUACACAAAUCAAAGACCUGAGCAAUGACAUUUUUUCUUCAAAUCUAAAGACACAUUGAAGUUCACUGUACAUAAAUUCUCAUUAUUGCUUAUUAGCGCAAUAAUUAAAAAUUAUUAAAUAUUAGUGCAGCAAUUCAGUGCAAAGCAGUUUUGCAUACUGGAUAAUACUCUGUCUAACUUUAUUUUUCAGACCAUCCUUGGAUGUGCUACUCCAUUAAUCAUAACUGAAGGGCUACGGACUUGAUUACAACCAGACAUAUGAGAUACUUCUCUGUUUUCAUGUUAUAGCUGUGGUAAAAUGGUGUGGUCUGUUUGAAACAGGAAGAAAUAAGACCAAUGUAACAUAUUUAAUAUAUAAACUAUUGUACUGUGUGUCACUACUCUUCAACUGCUACAUUUAACAACACAAUUCUUUCUUUCUUUGCAUUUAUUGUACAUUUUUAAUGAUAAUAAUGAAUUUCUACUAAUUCUACCGGUUCAGCAGGCCAAGACCAAGUUA
This is a long non-coding RNA of Sinocyclocheilus rhinocerous, 1094 nucleotides long. RefSeq lists it as uncharacterized. The record is from RefSeq and is a predicted model, not a curated record. The transcript has 2 exons. Lineage: Eukaryota; Metazoa; Chordata; Actinopteri; Cypriniformes; Cyprinidae.